RNAcentral lists this ribosomal RNA (745 nucleotides) under fungal endophyte. Its description in RNAcentral is "eukaryotic LSU rRNA". The stretch from base 487 to 745 matches the Rfam family "Eukaryotic large subunit ribosomal RNA", at positions 1 to 258 of the family's 3401-position model. Lineage: Eukaryota; Fungi. The record is from RNAcentral.
UUACACAAAUAUGAAGGCGGGCUGGAACCUCUCGGGGUUACAGCCUUGCUGAAUUAUUCACCCUUGUCUUUUGCGUACUUCUUGUUUCCUUGGUGGGUUCGCCCACCACUAGGACAAACAUAAACCUUUUGUAAUUGCAAUCAGCGUCAGUAACAAAUUAAUAAUUACAACUUUCAACAACGGAUCUCUUGGUUCUGGCAUCGAUGAAGAACGCAGCGAAAUGCGAUAAGUAGUGUGAAUUGCAGAAUUCAGUGAAUCAUCGAAUCUUUGAACGCACAUUGCGCCCUUUGGUAUUCCAAAGGGCAUGCCUGUUCGAGCGUCAUUUGUACCCUCAAGCUUUGCUUGGUGUUGGGCGUCUUGUCUCUAGCUUUGCUGGAGACUCGCCUUAAAGUAAUUGGCAGCCGGCCUACUGGUUUCGGAGCGCAGCACAAGUCGCACUCUCUAUCAGCAAAGGUCUAGCAUCCAUUAAGCCUUUUUUUCAACUUUUGACCUCGGAUCAGGUAGGGAUACCCGCUGAACUUAAGCAUAUCAAUAAGCGGAGGAAAAGAAACCAACAGGGAUUGCCCUAGUAACGGCGAGUGAAGCGGCAACAGCUCAAAUUUGAAAUCUGGCUCUUUUAGAGUCCGAGUUGUAAUUUGCAGAGGGCGCUUUGGCUUUGGCAGCGGUCCAAGUUCCUUGGAACAGGACGUCACAGAGGGUGAGAAUCCCGUACGUGGUCGCUGGCUAUUGCCGUGUAAAGCCCUUC